This 253-nucleotide ribosomal RNA is filed under the name uncultured bacterium. RNAcentral describes it as "partial 16S ribosomal RNA". It matches the Rfam family "Bacterial small subunit ribosomal RNA", at positions 524 to 776 of the family's 1533-position model. The record is from RNAcentral.
UACGAAGGGUGCAAGCGUUACUCGGAAUUACUGGGCGUAAAGCGUGCGUAGGUGGUUUGUUAAGUCUGCUGUGAAAGCCCCGGGCUCAACCUGGGAAUGGCAGUGGAUACUGGCAAGCUAGAGUGCGGUAGAGGGUAGUGGAAUUCCCGGUGUAGCGGUGAAAUGCGCAGAUAUCGGGAAGAACACCCGUGGCGAAGGCGGUUCUCUGGGACGGUACUGACGCUGAGACGCGAAAGCGUGGGGAGCGAACAGG